GACGAACGCUGGCGGCGUGCUUAACACAUGCAAGUCGAACGGAAAGGCCCUGCUUUUGUGGUGUGCUCGAGUGGCGAACGGGUGAGUAACACGUGAGUAACCUGCCCUUGACUUUGGGAUAACUUCAGGAAACUGGGGCUAAUACCGGAUAGGAGCUCCUGCUGCAUGGUGGGGGUUGGAAAGUUUCGGCGGUUGGGGAUGGACUCGCGGCUUAUCAGCUUGUUGGUGGGGUAGUGGCUUACCAAGGCUUUGACGGGUAGCCGGCCUGAGAGGGUGACCGGCCACAUUGGGACUGAGAUACGGACCAGAGUCCUACGGGAGGCAGCAGUGGGGAAUAUUGCACAAUGGGCGGAAGCCUGAUGAAGAAACGCCGCGUGCGGGAUGACGGCCUUCGGGUUGUAAACCGCUUUCGCCUGUGACGAAGCGUGAGUGACGGUAAUGGGUAAAGAAGCACCGGCUAACUACGUG
Molecule: ribosomal RNA, 468 nt
Filed under: uncultured bacterium
Lineage: Bacteria
Description: partial 16S ribosomal RNA
Rfam family: Bacterial small subunit ribosomal RNA
Source: RNAcentral